RNAcentral lists this ribosomal RNA (465 nucleotides) under uncultured bacterium. RNAcentral's name for it is "partial 16S ribosomal RNA". It matches the Rfam family "Bacterial small subunit ribosomal RNA", at positions 28 to 507 of the family's 1533-position model. The record is from RNAcentral.
GACGAACGCUGGCGGCGUGCUUAACACAUGCAAGUCGAACGGAAAGGCCCCUUUGGGGGUACUCGAGUGGCGAACGGGUGAGUAACACGUGAGUAACCUGCCCUUGACUUCGGGAUAACUUCAGGAAACUGGGGCUAAUACCGGAUAGGAAUCCUUGCUGCAUGGUGGGGGUUGGAAAGCUUCGGCGGUUUUGGAUGGACUCGCGGCUUAUCAGCUUGUUGGUGGGGUAGUGGCUUACCAAGGCUUUGACGGGUAGCCGGCCUGAGAGGGCGACCGGCAACAUUGGGACUGAGAUACGGCCCAGACUCCUACGGGAGGCAGCAGUGGGGAAUAUUGCACAAUGGGCGGAAGCCUGAUGCAGCAACGCCGCGUGCGGGAUGACGGCCUUCGGGUUGUAAACCGCUUUCAGCAGGGGCGAAGCUUGUGGUGACGGUACCUGCAGAAGAAGCACCGGCUAACUACGUG